Long non-coding RNA from Saccostrea cuccullata (small rock oyster), 1515 nucleotides. RefSeq lists it as uncharacterized. The record is from RefSeq and is a predicted model, not a curated record. NCBI's taxonomy places the organism in Eukaryota, Metazoa, Mollusca, Bivalvia, Ostreida, Ostreidae. The transcript is spliced from 3 exons.
ACUUAAUUUGGCAUGUUUUAACAGAAUUAUAGGAAUUUCUUACAAUUAGUUUUUUUUCUUCACUGCAGAAGAUAAUGCUGUCAGUGUGACAGUUGGAGCUGUUUUUGGCGGCCUUAUCUUAGGCAUUGUUCUAACUGUUCUUGGGGUCAUCAUCUACAAAAAUAUACGAAAUGGGAAACCCAAGGCUGGAAAAAAACAAGACCAAACGGUUGCAUUUUUUAACAACACUUCUUAUGAAACUGAAAGAGAAGCACAUCAGAACCACUCUACUGUGCAACGUGCAAAUGAGAGAAAGAUUGUUAAUGUGCCACCGUUUGCUCAUUCUAGGGAUUUACCAGUAACGGAAAACACAUACACCCAUCAUGGCAACAAAAGUUCGAUGGCAAAUAGGCAUGACGUAAAUAAUGACGUAUAUAAUCAUCUGCAUGAAAAGGAAGAGGAUUCCGACAUUGAUGAAACUUACGACCACGCCCAUGAAAACAUAAAUCGUACAAUGGAGGAGAGUGACUACAGUAAUCUAAAUACAGGGAGACAAUACAUGGGACCAGGUGUUUCAGCUACUGAAGAUAAUGAUUAUGAUGAACGCGAGCUGCCUGGUGAUUACUGUUCACUGGAAAAGCAGUGAAGAAUUGGAAAUUAUUGUGCAAAGACACUGUUAAGAUUAGUCUGAGUCAAGCAUUUUAUGAGACUGUUUGUUGUCUUUCAUUGACUUACUUUAGAGACCUUUUAAAUGCAUAAAGCAUAUAUUUUGAGAUCAAGUGUAGGGAGUAAAAAUGUUUUCGGUCGACUACAGGAAUCAUUAGGCAUGUUAGGGGAAACAUUCUCGAUUAUUUUUUUUUUCGUAGUUUUGGAUAAUCUUUGAGUGACAGAGUAGAUAGAAUAAUCAUUCGACGAGUUCAUUCAUUUUAUGGUAUUAUUUUCAUUUCUUUCAAUAUGAUAAUGCUAAACCAAUUUGUUUGCUGUACAUACGUCAUUUAUUUUUCAUAAUUAAGUGAUGCCUUUCCAGUCUCUUUUCAAAUCACCUUUUAGACUUUUUGACGCAAGUCUAUGAAGCCAAGAAAAUCACAAAGGCACUUGUACGCUCAGUACUUUUCUCAUUAACGUAAUAUCAUGAUAACAUGGCGUAUUAUUUUUGACGAAGUUGUAUUGCUAAUAUUUGCUAUUAACACACAAUUAGGUCAUCACAUAAGGUUAAGUUGCAUCUGUUUGCUCAAGUCAGUACUAAUUUGUAUAUAUGUUUUACUUUCAUAAAUAAGGAUAAUAUUACUAAAAUUCUUCACAAAAGCUAUAUCGCCUUGACUUUAUGGGUAUCUCGUGUUAUAUUGUUCUUCAGAUAGGCUUGACUAUAAAAUGAUUGAUCUGACCUAAGGAUCAUAAAACAGGUUGAAACUUAAGUCAAAUGUUAAAUUGUUGUCUAAAAAUGUUAAAGAGUUAUUAUAUUUAAAUUGGAGAAAACAUCAUUUACAGUACUAGCUUUUGAUGCAAUAUGACAUUUUGAACUUGUGUAUAUCUUAU